This 1406-nucleotide long non-coding RNA is filed under the name Homo sapiens (human). RNAcentral's name for it is "non-protein coding lnc-TTPA-6:1". Lineage: Eukaryota; Metazoa; Chordata; Mammalia; Primates; Hominidae. The record is from RNAcentral.
AUGUCUGAAUAUAUUCGGGUAACCAAAGAUGAGAACAAUGAGCCCAUUUAAAUACCUUCAGAGGACGAAGGGACGGUGCUGCUGUCCACUGUUACAGCCCAGGGGCACAUGGGCUUUGCUACAGGAAUCCAGUGUCUCAAUGUAUGAGAGGUUUCCGGCUGGUAGAAGGAAUUCUACAUGCCCCCGAUGCUGGCUGGGGAAAUCUGGUGUAUGUUUUCAACUAUCCCAAAGACAACAAAAGCAAAAUGGAUGAGACAGAUGCUUCAUCAGCAGUGAAAGUGAAAAGUUUUGGGUGUCCCGUGGAAAACAACUGAACAGGAUCUGAAAGAAUAUUUUAGUACCUUUGGAGAAGUUCUUACGGUGCAGGUCAAGAAAGAUAUUAAGACUGGUCAUUCAAAGGGGUUUGGCUUUAUUCAUUUUAUAGAAUAUGAAACACAGGUGAAAGUAAUGUCACAUUGACAUAUGAUGGAUGGACAAUGGUGUGACUGUAAACUUGCUAAUUCUAAGCAAAGCCCAGAUGAACAUUGAGAAGCAGAAAAGUGUUUUUGGGGCAGUACAGAGAACAUAACUGUGGAUGAGCUGUCGCAGUUCUUCUGUCAGUACGGGGAAGUGGUGGAUGUCUUCAUCCCCAAGCCGUUCAGGGCCUUUGCCUUUGUUACAUUUGCAGAUGAUCAGGUUGCUCAAUCUCUCUCUUUUUUUAAUUUUUAUUAUACUUUAUGUUCUAGGGACUUGAUCAUUAAAGGAAUCAGUGUUAAAAUACCCAAUGCCAACCUAAGCACAAUAGCAAUAGAAAGAAGUGGAAGAUUUGGUGGUAAUCCAGGUGGCUUUGGGAAUCAGGGUGGAUUUGGUAAUAGUAGAGGGGAUGGAGCUGGUUUGGGAAACAACCAAGGUAGUAUUAUGGGUGGUGGGAUAAACUUUGGUGAGUUCAGCAUUAAUCCAGCCAUGAUGGCUGCAGCCCAGGCAGUGCUACAGAGCAGUUGGGGUAUCAUGGGCAUGUUAGCCAGCCAGCAGAGCCAGUCAGGCCCAUUGUGUAAUAACCAAAGCCAAGGCAACAUGCAGAGGGAGCCAAACCAGGCCUUCGAUUCUGGAAAUAACUCAUAGUGGUUCUAAUUCUGGGGCAGCAAUUGGUUGGGGAUCAGCAUCAAAAGCAGGGUGGGGCAGUGGUUUUAAAGAAGGCUUUGGCUCAAGCAUGGAUUCUAAGUCUUCUGGCUGGGGAAUGUAGAUGGUGGGGUUGUGGUUGCUUGGUACAGAAUGGUGGGAAUUCAAAUUUUUCUAAACUCAUGGUAAGUAUAUUGUAAAAUACAUAUGUACUAAGAAUUUUCAAAAUUGGUUUGUUCAGUGUGUAGUAUAUUCAGUAGUAUUUUUGACAUUUUUCUUUAGAAAAAAGAAGAGCUAAAGGAAUUUUA